This 253-nucleotide ribosomal RNA is filed under the name uncultured bacterium. Its description in RNAcentral is "partial 16S ribosomal RNA". It matches the Rfam family "Bacterial small subunit ribosomal RNA", at positions 524 to 776 of the family's 1533-position model. The record is from RNAcentral.
UACAGAGGGGGCAAGCGUUGUCCGGAUUUAUUGGGCGUAAAGAGCGUGUAGGCGGCUUGGUAGGUCCGCUGUGAAAACUCGAGGCUCAACCUCGAGAUGUCGGCGGAAACCACUUGGCUAGAGUCCGGAAGAGGAGAGUGGAAUUCCCGGUGUAGCGGUGAAAUGCGCAGAUAUCGGGAAGAACACCUAUGGCGAAGGCAGCUCUCUGGGACGGUACUGACGCUGAGACGCGAAAGCGUGGGGAGCGAACAGG